Populus euphratica (Euphrates poplar) is the source of this 506-nucleotide long non-coding RNA. RefSeq lists it as uncharacterized. The record is from RefSeq and is a predicted model, not a curated record. NCBI's taxonomy places the organism in Eukaryota, Viridiplantae, Streptophyta, Magnoliopsida, Malpighiales, Salicaceae. The transcript is spliced from 3 exons.
CUCCUCCUCCUCCCUCUCUCAUUGGGAUUAUUUGGGUUUGUUAAUUUUGCGACCCGUUCUCGCAAUCUUGUUUGUGUUUUCGUUUAUAUCUAUUGGUUAGUGUUUGGCAUGGAAGCUAGUGCUGGUACAUGUGCCUUUGGUUCAAGAUAUUUUCGGCCUGCGUAAAAAUCCCACCAAGCCUAAGCCACUGACCCUUCGAAUAUCAAGAAUUUUUUAUACCAUUGAGCCCCGAUAUUUCACUCCUGCUGGGAUUUCCUGGUCGAAAAUGGGUCACAAAGUGCGGCUCUUAGCUAGAAAUCAAUCAAGUAAUAUUGUGAUGAUGACUCAAUAACCAGGAUUUUAGCUGUACUAGUUUUAUCCGGAAAAACGGUAGUGGGUUUCCAGUUGUUAUGCUGAUCUUGAAUACUACGACAGCUGAGUGUUUCAUAGAACGACCCGCAAGGUGUUUUUCAUUAGUUUUAUGGAUACCUGGUCACGAAGAAAAGCAUGAGAUAUCUGUGGGAAUU